ACCUCGAUACGAGUCUGGAUCGUUAAGAGCUCCCUUAUUCUUAUAAAUGGAAUUAAUUAUUCCCAUUGACCAGAUUUCGGGUAUAAUCCCUGUGUCGAAUACAAAAUUGAACAAUUUUACAUAAAGAGGUAAACAUACAGACAUGGAAUUUUUAAUAAACUCGUUUCUUAUUCCAUCAUAUCCAGCGGCUUUGUUAUUUUUUAAUUUUUUAAUGACUUUGAUAAUUUCUUCCUCGGUAAUAGGCCCAUUUAAAAUUUCGUCGAACUCAUUUAACUCUAGGUUAGGUAAUUUAAACUCUUCCUCCUCAUUUGCCACACUUUCGUUAAGCUUCUUAAAAUGUGCAUACAUUACUUCUAGUGAAAUUGGACUUUCCUUUUUUUGUUUCGGAGAGAAUUUAUUUAAAACUUUCCAAAAUUCUUUUGGGUUAUUUGUUG
RNAcentral lists this long non-coding RNA (434 nucleotides) under Mytilus galloprovincialis (Mediterranean mussel). The record is from RNAcentral. Lineage: Eukaryota; Metazoa; Mollusca; Bivalvia; Mytilida; Mytilidae.